AACGAACGCUGGCGGCAUGCCUAACACAUGCAAGUCGAACGAGACCUUCGGGUCUAGUGGCGCACGGGUGCGUAACGCGUGGGAACCUGCCCUUAGGUUCGGAAUAACUCCCCGAAAGGGGUGCUAAUACCGGAUAAUGUCUUCGGACCAAAGAUUUAUCGCCUUUGGAUGGGCCCGCGUUGGAUUAGCUAGUUGGUAGGGUAAAAGCCUACCAAGGCGACGAUCCAUAGCUGGUCUGAGAGGAUGAUCAGCCACACUGGGACUGGGACACGGCCCAGACUCCUACGGGAGGCAGCAGUGGGGAAUAUUGGACAAUGGGCGAAAGCCUGAUCCAGCAAUGCCGCGUGAGUGAUGAAGGCCUUAGAGUUGUAAAGCUCUUUUACCCGGGAUGAUAAUGACAGUACCGGGAGAAUAAGCUCCGGCUAACUCCGUG
RNAcentral lists this ribosomal RNA (433 nucleotides) under uncultured bacterium. Its description in RNAcentral is "partial 16S ribosomal RNA". It matches the Rfam family "Bacterial small subunit ribosomal RNA", at positions 29 to 507 of the family's 1533-position model. The record is from RNAcentral.